UACACUGUCUAAAAAAAGAAAAAAAAGGAAAAGAAAUAAAUCAAAAGGCUUGUGAGCUGUUGCUUCAUUUGCACAUCCAAGAGCAGCUUCCUGUUACUUUAUCUGUUGAAGCAGUUUCUCUUCUCAGAAUCAGACGCUGAUUACCCUACUGACUGUAGAGGAGUAAAACCGCUCUGUGGGAACGUUUGAUUCUCUAGAGUUCCUUUAAUAGCAGAUUUUAUAUAGCAAAAUGGCAAAGAUUUUGGGGCAAUUAUAGGCAUUGGUCUGAAAGAGAGAGUCGAGUAUUGAGAAAUAUACUACGGACAAAACUAGCGGGUACACUCAGAAGAUGAGAAAAAACUUGGAAGUGCUUCAGAUCGUAUUUUCAGUGGUCAGACCUUCCAAGUGCUGCACUAGAAUCAUGUUCUUCCACAACAUUCCUCCAGUCUCUGCAGCAUCUAAUUUCACAUCCCGGGCAGUACCUGCUCUCCCAAGGAGCUCACAUUAAAAUAAAGCUUUUCAGAUGCUCCA
This 510-nucleotide long non-coding RNA is filed under the name Coturnix japonica (Japanese quail). RNAcentral's name for it is "lncRNA (ENSCJPG00005000200.1)". Lineage: Eukaryota; Metazoa; Chordata; Aves; Galliformes; Phasianidae. The record is from RNAcentral.